Molecule: long non-coding RNA, 739 nt
Filed under: Rhinopithecus bieti (black snub-nosed monkey)
Lineage: Eukaryota; Metazoa; Chordata; Mammalia; Primates; Cercopithecidae
Description: lncRNA (ENSRBIG00000046775.1)
Source: RNAcentral
UCACACAGAGCCUGAAAGCUCCUUAGACAAGCAUUUCCCAAAAUCACGCAGUCAGAUCCAGGUUUCUUUUAGCAGAGGUGAGGAGCAGAGCACUCUGUCUUCCAGAGAAGGAUUGCAGCACAACUACCUGUGCAGGCUAUAAAAAGCCGCUGCGCUCCAUGUGGGGGAAGACAGCCCAGCUUUCCAAUCACUUCUCCACAUUGUGCCCCUGGUUCUAUCACCCAGCUUUGUCCUGGACCUGGUCCGGGUGCACUGUGCUGGAGGGAGACCUGGCCCAGUCCAACAGCACGGCUUCUUCAGAGGACCUUUCUGGUCUACCUGAUUCAACACAGCUUGAUCAUUUGCAACCCGAUUUUGCAGUUCAUCUCUUUGUAUUCAUAUGUAUUCUGACUCCUCAUUUACCCUAUAAGAUCAUCUGAGGGGUAGAAACCUGGCCAUCUUCCUUGUUCUUUCCUAUCCUGGAAGGUCCAUGUGAUUUUUGACAAUGAAUAUAAUUUCUAUUUUACCUUGGAAUGAGUUUUUGCAUUUGAUUAUCAGCAGGUUCGAUGUUUAGGGAUUUCUACUCACCGUGAAAUCUAGUGCCAAACCUAGCAGGAAUUGUGUCCUUUUAACAUGCGACUAAAUUCCAAUGAGCCCAAGCCAGGAAGACCUGAUUUGCAGGGGCCGGGGAGGGUGCUCACUUCUCCACUUCUGCAUGAAGCCACCUCCAGUCUGGAAAGAAGCAACUCUUCCAUUAUCU